RNAcentral lists this ribosomal RNA (305 nucleotides) under uncultured bacterium. RNAcentral describes it as "bacterial SSU rRNA". It matches the Rfam family "Bacterial small subunit ribosomal RNA", at positions 338 to 659 of the family's 1533-position model. The record is from RNAcentral.
CCUACGGGAGGCAGCAGUGGGGAAUAUUGGGCAAUGGGCGCAAGCCUGACCCAGCAACGCCGCGUGAAGGAAGAAGGCUUUCAGGUUGUAAAGCUCUUUAAUCAGGGACGAAGAAUGACGGUACCUGAAGAAUAAGCUCCGGCUAACUACGUGCCAGCAGCCGCGGUAAUACGUAGGGAGCAAGCGUUAUCCGGAUUUACUGGGUGUAAAGGGCGUGUAGGCGGGCCUGCAAGUCAGAAGUGAAAUCUGGGGGCUUAACCCCUAAACUGCUUUUGAAACUGUGGGUCUUGAGUGAUGGAGAGGCA